AGGGGGUGAACCUGCGCAAGGAUCAUUA
This 28-nucleotide ribosomal RNA is filed under the name uncultured Tomentella. RNAcentral's name for it is "partial 18S ribosomal RNA". The record is from RNAcentral. Lineage: Eukaryota; Fungi; Basidiomycota; Agaricomycetes; Thelephorales; Thelephoraceae.